GAGUCUAACAUGUGCGCGAGUCAUUGGGACACGCAAACCUAAAGGCGAAAUGAAAGUAAAGGUCAGCCUUGCGCUGACCGAGGGAGGAUGGGCCGCGUCACGAUGCGGCCCCGCACUCCCGGGGCGUCUCGUUCUCAUUGCGAGAAGAGGCGCACCCAGAGCGUACACGUUGGGACCCGAAAGAUGGUGAACUAUGCCUGGUCAGGACGAAGUCAGGGGAAACCCUGAUGGAGGUCCGUAGCGAUUCUGACGUGCAAAUCGAUCGUCGGAACUGGGUAUAGGGGCGAAAGACUAAUCGAACCAUCUAGUAGCUGGUUCCCUCCGAAGUUUCCCUCAGGAUAGCUGGCACUCGCGUACAAAACGUACACGAGUCUCAUCCGGUAAAGCGAAUGAUUAGAGGCCUUGGGGCCGAAACGACCUCAACCUAUUCUCAAACUUUAAAUGGGUGAGAUCUCUGGCUUGCUUGAACUAUGAAGCCACGAGAUUUCGGAU
Molecule: ribosomal RNA, 492 nt
Filed under: Dolerus ephippiatus
Lineage: Eukaryota; Metazoa; Arthropoda; Insecta; Hymenoptera; Tenthredinidae
Description: eukaryotic LSU rRNA
Rfam family: Eukaryotic large subunit ribosomal RNA
Source: RNAcentral